GAUCCCAUGACCCAUUGUAGAGCGGAAUGGUCUGUGACAACCGUGAAAAGCUUGUAUUCCAGGUAAUGUUGCCACUUCUCUAAGGCCCAUAUAACUGCCAGACACUCUUUUUCUGUUGCCGUGUAGUUGAUCUCUGCUCCAGUUAAUGUUCGACUGGCAUAUGCAAUAACCUCCUCCCUACCUAGUUCUUUUCUCUGCGAGAGAAUGGCACCCAGUCCAGUAUCACUGGCAUCUGUGUAAACAAUGAACGGGACUUGCAGAUCAGGGUGGCCGAGAAUGGGGGGCGAGGGAAUUGAGGGGCUCAGCAAUUUUAGAAAAAUUUGGCACAAACCGGUGGUACCAACCGGCUAAUCCCAAGAACCUCUGAACUUCCUUCAAGGUGUUGGGAGCAGGAAAGGCACGAAUGGCUUCAACUUUACUUGGAUCAGCUGUGAUGCCCUUAUUGCUCACCACGUGUCCUAGAAAGCUCCCCCAGGACUGUCUCCAUCAGCCUCUGGAAGGUAGCAG
Long non-coding RNA from Carassius auratus (goldfish), 507 nucleotides. RefSeq lists it as uncharacterized. Lineage: Eukaryota; Metazoa; Chordata; Actinopteri; Cypriniformes; Cyprinidae. The record is from RefSeq and is a predicted model, not a curated record. The transcript has 3 exons.